GACGAACGCUGGCGGCGUGCUUAACACAUGCAAGUCGAACGGUAAGGCCCCAGCUUGCUGGGGUACACGAGUGGCGAACGGGUGAGUAACACGUGGGUGACCUGCCCUGCACUUCGGGAUAACCCUGGGAAACUGGGGCUAAUACCGGAUAGGACCGCACCGUGCAUGGGUGGUGGAAAGUUUUUCGGUGGGGUAUGGGCCCGCGGCCUAUCAGCUUGUUGGUGGGGUAGUGGCCUACCAAGGCGGCGACGGGUAGCCGGCCUGAGAGGGUGGACGGCCACAUUGGGACUGAGACACGGCCCAGACUCCUACGGGAGGCAGCAGUGGGGAAUAUUGCACAAUGGGCGGAAGCCUGAUGCAGCAACGCCGCGUGGGGGAUGACGGCCUUCGGGUUGUAAACUCCUUUCGCCUGUGACGAAGGUUUUGCGACGGUAGAUGGUGAAGAAGCACCGGCUAACUACGUG
RNAcentral lists this ribosomal RNA (464 nucleotides) under uncultured bacterium. RNAcentral's name for it is "partial 16S ribosomal RNA". It matches the Rfam family "Bacterial small subunit ribosomal RNA", at positions 28 to 507 of the family's 1533-position model. The record is from RNAcentral.